This 253-nucleotide ribosomal RNA is filed under the name uncultured bacterium. Its description in RNAcentral is "partial 16S ribosomal RNA". It matches the Rfam family "Bacterial small subunit ribosomal RNA", at positions 524 to 776 of the family's 1533-position model. The record is from RNAcentral.
UACGUAGGGUGCAAGCGUUGUCCGGAAUUAUUGGGCGUAAAGAGCUCGUAGGCGGUUUGUUGCGUCGGCUGUGAAAUCCCGAGGCUCAACCUCGGGUCUGCAGUCGAUACGAGCAAACUAGAGUGUUGCAGGGGAGACUGGAAUUCCUGGUGUAGCGGUGAAAUGCGCAGAUAUCAGGAGGAACACCGGUGGCGAAGGCGGGCCUCUGGGCAACAACUGACGCUGAGGAGCGAAAGCGUGGGGAGCGAACAGG